Molecule: ribosomal RNA, 462 nt
Filed under: uncultured bacterium
Lineage: Bacteria
Description: partial 16S ribosomal RNA
Rfam family: Bacterial small subunit ribosomal RNA
Source: RNAcentral
GAUGAACGCUGACAGAAUGCUUAACACAUGCAAGUCAUUCGCGAAGCUGCGCUUGCGCAGUCUAGCCAAGGCGGACGGGUGAGUAACGCGUAAGGAACUUGCCCUGCAGACAGGGAUAACAGACGGAAACGACUGAUAACACCUGGUAUUGUCAGGCUGGCGCAUGCCGGCCUGAUGAAAGGAGACGCUGCAGGAGAGCCUUGCGUCCUAUUAGCUAGUUGGUGGGGUAACGGCCCACCAAGGCGAUGAUAGGUAGCCGGCCUGAGAGGGUGAACGGCCACGAGGGGACUGAGAUACGGCCCUUACGCCUACGGGAGGCAGCAGUGGGGAAUAUUGGACAAUGGGGGCAACCCUGAUCCAGCAAUUCUGUGUGCACGAAGAAGGUUUUCGGAUUGUAAAGUGCUUUCAGCAGGGAAGAAGAAAGUGACGGUACCUGCAGAAGAAGCGACGGCUAAAUACGUG